RNAcentral lists this long non-coding RNA (345 nucleotides) under Musa acuminata (dwarf banana). RNAcentral's name for it is "long non-coding RNA (MACU_LNC011189)". Lineage: Eukaryota; Viridiplantae; Streptophyta; Magnoliopsida; Zingiberales; Musaceae. The record is from RNAcentral.
UGAAAGCAAAGCUAAUCAGUAAAGGUAAGAUCUGGGCUGUUGGUUAUCAUUGUGUUUGAAACAUUAAUUAUAAAAGGAAAGCAGAAUUUGGGUUUCUUAGUUUCUUUAGUUGAUUCUUGGUCUGCUCAGGAUGAGUUCUAGUUUCUUCAGUUGAUUCUUAGUCUGCUCAGGAUGAGUUCUAGUUUCUUCUAUCGGUUCUUAUUCUGAACAAGAGUAGUAUAUGAUGUAUAGUAUAUUAGAUUAUUGGGAGUCCUGACAUGAUAGUCAGUUUCAACGAGUUCAGCUUGUUGGUUCAUCAAUUUCAUACAUGAAAUGGUUCUGGAUUUUGGAUCCGCAUUUUGUCAG